AGCCGUUUGACUGUGAGGGCAUUGAUGAAACUCAACCGGCAAAAGAGCCCAAGACCCGAGAGUGUAUGAUCUCAAGACAACCCUGUGAGGUGGUAAUCUGAAGCUUGGAGAGACGAAGAAAAUUGCCCAAGUCUCCCAGCUGAGCGUGCCCGAGAGAGAGGAGCACCCUGGACGAGGCCUCGUCAUAGCACGACCCACCCCAGCCUGCCAGCCUGCCAGGAC
Long non-coding RNA from Tupaia belangeri chinensis (Chinese tree shrew), 222 nucleotides. RefSeq lists it as uncharacterized. NCBI's taxonomy places the organism in Eukaryota, Metazoa, Chordata, Mammalia, Scandentia, Tupaiidae. The record is from RefSeq and is a predicted model, not a curated record. The transcript is spliced from 3 exons.